CAGUAGCCACGGGAAUACGUAGGGUGCAAGCGUUGUCCGGAAUUAUUGGGCGUAAAGAGCUCGUAGGCGGUUUGUCGCGUCGGCUGUGAAAACAUGGGGCUCAACCCUGUGCCUGCAGCCGAUACGGGCAGACUAGAAUUCGGUAGGGGAGACUGGAAUUCCUGGUGUAGCGGUGGAAUGCGCAGAUAUCAGGAGGAACACCGGUGGCGAAGGCGGGUCUCUGGGCCGAUAUUGACGCUGAGGAGCGAAAGCGUGGGGAGCAAACAGGAUUAGAUACCCCUGUAGUCCUGUCUCUUAUACA
Molecule: ribosomal RNA, 301 nt
Filed under: uncultured bacterium
Lineage: Bacteria
Description: partial 16S ribosomal RNA
Rfam family: Bacterial small subunit ribosomal RNA
Source: RNAcentral